AGGGCGUGGGCGCGUGUGUGGGCAGGACUUGUGUGAGUUUUUUUUUUGCGGUGGCUCUUGUGUGUGUAAAUUAGGGCUGGUGGCUCCUUUGCCGAGCGCCCCUGAUCUGGCGCUCGGCAAAGGUGGCCUUUGCCAAGCGCCAGAUCGGCAACGCUAAGCAAAGGCUUUUUCGACUUUUUAAAAAAAUGAUUUUUUUUUUCUGUUUGUUUUUUUUGUUGGAAUGAAGUUGGCCAUUACACAAUUUUGCCGAGGGCUGUGGGGGUAUAAACCCCUAUACCCUUACGGCUGGACUUGGGCCAGGAGGCUUGGCCCAUUACGAGACGAGUUCAAAGCUUGAUCCGACAACCUGGAGUUCCGCGCAAGGAAACAAGAUGUGGAGAUCAAGCAGGAUUCUAGUCGGUUAGAAUAGGAAUUGAUAUCGAAUUAUCAAUGGCAACUGUAACCGACUAGGAUUAGUUUCUAGAUCUGUAACCCUGCCCUCCAGACUAUAUAAGGAGGGGCAAGGGACCCCCCUAGGACAGAUUAUCUCUCGACACAAUCCAAUACAACCAGACGCAGGACGUAGGUAUUACGCCAACUCGGCGGCCGAACCUGGAUAAAAAGCUUGUCCGUGUCUUGCGUCACCAUCG
This 629-nucleotide long non-coding RNA is filed under the name Sorghum bicolor (sorghum). RNAcentral's name for it is "long non-coding RNA (SBIC_LNC001222)". Lineage: Eukaryota; Viridiplantae; Streptophyta; Magnoliopsida; Poales; Poaceae. The record is from RNAcentral.